Molecule: ribosomal RNA, 468 nt
Filed under: uncultured bacterium
Lineage: Bacteria
Description: partial 16S ribosomal RNA
Rfam family: Bacterial small subunit ribosomal RNA
Source: RNAcentral
GACGAACGCUGGCGGCGUGCUUAACACAUGCAAGUCGAACGGCAAGGCCCUGCUUUUGUGGGGUGCUCGAGUGGCGAACGGGUGAGUAACACGUGAGUAACCUGCCCUUGACUUUGGGAUAACUUCAGGAAACUGGGGCUAAUACCGGAUAGGAGCUCCUGCUGCAUGGUGGGGGUUGGAAAGUUUCGGCGGUUGGGGAUGGACUCGCGGCUUAUCAGCUUGUUGGUGGGGUAGUGGCUUACCAAGGCUUUGACGGGUAGCCGGCCUGAGAGGGUGACCGGCCACAAUGGGACUGAGAGACGGCCCAGACUCCAACGGGAGGCAGGAGUGGGGAAUAUUGCACAAUGGGCGGAAGCCUGAUGCAGCAGCGCCGCGUGCGGGAUGACGGCCUGCGGGUUGUAAACCGCUUUCGCCUGUGACGAAGCGGGAGUGACGGUAAUGGGUAAAGAAGCACCGGCUAACUACGUG